GGCCUGAUGGUCUAGUAGUAUGAUUCCUUGUUAGGGUCGUGGAAGUAUUACGUCCAUCGAGGAGGUCCCGGGUUCAAUUCCCGGUCAGGCCC
Molecule: non-coding RNA, 92 nt
Organism: Termitomyces sp. Mi166#008
Lineage: Eukaryota; Fungi; Basidiomycota; Agaricomycetes; Agaricales; Lyophyllaceae
Source: the annotation of a GenBank genome assembly